RNAcentral lists this unclassified non-coding RNA (222 nucleotides) under Hevea brasiliensis (rubber tree). The record is from RNAcentral. Lineage: Eukaryota; Viridiplantae; Streptophyta; Magnoliopsida; Malpighiales; Euphorbiaceae.
AAAAAAAAAAAAAAAAUCUCUCUUCAAUCCCAUUGCUAAAGUCCCGCCCAUUCUGUGAUUCUGUGAUGUCUUCUCCCUUGUCAUUCAAAGUGUCCACUUUUGUUAUCACACUUGUCCACCUCGAUUACAGCUUGCUAACAUCCAUCCAUCGUCAAAAGAAUGAUCUUUCACUGGCCUGUGAAUUCUUAUAAUUUUAUUGCAAGAUUGCUUUAAGACCGAUCG